AUGGGGGGAAACCCUGACGCACAACGCCGCGUGGGUGAUGAAGGCCUUCGGGUCGUAAAGCUCUGUCUGGAGGGAAGAAAUGAUUGGGAGCUAAUACCUCUUGAUCUUGACGGUACCUCUGAAGGAAGCACCGGCUAACUCCGUGCCAGCAGCCGCGGUAAUACGGGAGCCAGCAGCCG
RNAcentral lists this ribosomal RNA (179 nucleotides) under uncultured bacterium. Its description in RNAcentral is "partial 16S ribosomal RNA". It matches the Rfam family "Bacterial small subunit ribosomal RNA", at positions 371 to 539 of the family's 1533-position model. The record is from RNAcentral.